CGAUUCUGAUAUGUGUCAAUUGAAAGUAGACAGACACAAUGCACAGUUGUCCAUGUGCAUAUACAGUUAAUUGCAGCAGCCUCAUUUAUCAUAGGAUAUGCUAAAAUAUGUCAGAGAAUUACUGCACGUGUUUCUUUCACUGAAUUCAAACAUUUAAAACGUGCUAAGAAUGCCUUUACUGCUUCUUACAAUUAAAAGUUUGAAAGAGUCAGAAAGAGGAGCAAGAGAUUGUUUUUGGAUUCGGAAAGACGAAGCAGACCGGAAUAUAAUUGGAAUGAAUAAAUAUGACCCUCCACUGGCUUCUGGACCGAAGUAGAAGACCGAAGACUGGGUGCAGACGAGCUGAGCUGACCCACAGAGGGCACGAAAGAAGAUAGGGCUACACAAAACACACUGUCUCUGGCUUGUUUAUUGUUGGCCUACCCAGGGGGAUGGGCUGACCUUGAAACCCUAGAGAUACUUUUUACUUGUCCAUGAUAUUUCCUACUAUUAUAUAAAGAUUCAGCUAUGUGGAACAUAUAGUAUUGACCCUGUAAUGGCCUUAAGCUACGCAAGAUGCUGUAUAAUUUAUCAUUACUUAACUAUUUACAGUUCAUUACAGUUCACCAAAUAAAUCUUUUAAUAUUUCAAAAUUA
Long non-coding RNA from Paramormyrops kingsleyae, 635 nucleotides. RefSeq lists it as uncharacterized. NCBI's taxonomy places the organism in Eukaryota, Metazoa, Chordata, Actinopteri, Osteoglossiformes, Mormyridae. The record is from RefSeq and is a predicted model, not a curated record.